RNAcentral lists this long non-coding RNA (209 nucleotides) under Setaria italica (foxtail millet). Its description in RNAcentral is "long non-coding RNA (SITA_LNC003861)". The record is from RNAcentral. Lineage: Eukaryota; Viridiplantae; Streptophyta; Magnoliopsida; Poales; Poaceae.
GGAUCGUCUUGGAUGUCGCCGGCCGGGGAAGAUAAGCUGCCAGCGCUGGAACGAACCAAUCAACCAAGCGUCACUUGCAUCUGAUCCGCCGCGAUUCGUGGCCAUGGCCACGGAUUCAGGUUCAGGUCUGUACGCGCGCACUGCACAUCGCCUGCUUCUCGCCCGUCUGGACUCACCUUCGCCUCCGCCUCGCAAAUCAGCGAGUCUCC